RNAcentral lists this ribosomal RNA (472 nucleotides) under uncultured bacterium. Its description in RNAcentral is "bacterial SSU rRNA". It matches the Rfam family "Bacterial small subunit ribosomal RNA", at positions 328 to 793 of the family's 1533-position model. The record is from RNAcentral.
GGUGAGCACUCCUACGGGAGGCAGCAGUGGGGAAUAUUGCACAAUGGGCGCAAGCCUGAUGCAGCCAUGCCGCGUGUAUGAAGAAGGCCUUCGGGUUGUAAAGUACUUUCAGCAGUGAGGAAGGUGGAUAUGUUAAUAGCAUAUUCAUUUGACGUUAGCUGCAGAAGAAGCACCGGCUAACUCCGUGCCAGCAGCCGCGGUAAUACGGAGGGUGCGAGCGUUAAUCGGAAUUACUGGGCGUAAAGCGCAUGCAGGUGGUUUGUUAAGUCAGAUGUGAAAGCCCGGGGCUCAACCUCGGAAUUGCAUUUGAAACUGGCAAACUAGAGUACUGUAGAGGGGGUAGAAUUUCAGGUGUAGCGGUGAAAUGCGUAGAGAUCUGAAGGAAUACCGGUGGCGAAGGCGGCCCCCUGGACAGAUACUGACACUCAGAUGCGAAAGCGUGGGGAGCAAACAGGAUUAGAUAACCUGGUAG